Molecule: non-coding RNA, 117 nt
Filed under: Homo sapiens (human)
Lineage: Eukaryota; Metazoa; Chordata; Mammalia; Primates; Hominidae
Source: Rfam by way of RNAcentral
GCCGGGCGUGGUGGCUCACGCCUGUAAUCCCAGCAGUUUGGGAGGCCGAGACGGGUGGAUCACCUGAGGUUGGGAGUUCAAGACCAGCCUGACCAACAUGGUGAAACCCUGUCUCUA